GAUAAACGCUAGCGGCAGGCUUAACACAUGCAAGUCGAGGGGCAGCAUAGAUUGUAGCAAUACAAUUGGUGGCGACCGGCGCACGGGUGCGUAACGCGUAUGCAACCUACCCGUCACAGGGGGAUAAUCCGGAGAAAUCUGGUCUAAUACCCCAUAACAUAUGGAUCGGCAUCGGUUCAUGUUGAAAUUUUCGGAGGUGACGGAUGGGCAUGCGUAGCAUUAGCUUGUUGGUGAGGUAACGGCUCACCAAGGCGACGAUGCUUAGGGGGACUGAGAGGUUUUCCCCCACACUGGUACUGAGACACGGACCAGACUCCUACGGGAGGCAGCAGUGAGGAAUAUUGGCCAAUGGGCGCAGGCCUGAACCAGCCAUGCCGCGUGCAGGAUGACGGCUCUAUGAGUUGUAAACUGCUUUUGUACGAGGGUAAAGUGGGUUACGUGUAACCUUUUGAAAGUAUCGUACGAAUAAGGAUCGGCUAACUCCGUGCCAGCCGCCGCGGUAA
RNAcentral lists this ribosomal RNA (503 nucleotides) under uncultured bacterium. RNAcentral's name for it is "partial 16S ribosomal RNA". It matches the Rfam family "Bacterial small subunit ribosomal RNA", at positions 28 to 523 of the family's 1533-position model. The record is from RNAcentral.